UGGGCCGUCGCCAAGCGGUAAGGCACAGGACUUUGACUCCUGCAUCCCGCGGGUUCGAAUCCCGCCGGUCCAG
This is a non-coding RNA of Clostridium sp. CAG:253, 73 nucleotides long. The record is from Rfam. Lineage: Bacteria; Bacillati; Bacillota; Clostridia; Eubacteriales; Clostridiaceae.